Molecule: long non-coding RNA, 2455 nt
Filed under: Homo sapiens (human)
Lineage: Eukaryota; Metazoa; Chordata; Mammalia; Primates; Hominidae
Description: HSALNT0372444
Source: RNAcentral
AGACCACACUCGGCCAUGAAAGUCUUUGAAGGUGGGGAAGGGGUGAAGAUGGUGAGGGGAUUCCACGGCUGGGAGAGGUACACUCCCUACACGUUCUAACCAACUGGCCGUGGGGAGGAAGCUGGAGGUCAGGACACAGGUAGGGCCUGGGUUUUUGCCUCAUGUGACUGGGUGGAUGGUCACAAUUCGGCCAUGCUGUCUUUGAACUCAACACCACCAAAAUCAUAGGAUAUUCCUAGUAAUGUUGAUUUCCACUAGAUUACUUUUGUUACCAGAGUUUUAAGGGCAGAAGUCUUUGUCCCUUUUUUUCUCUAACAGGAAGCCAUUCUGGGCCAUUUAUUUGCCGUUAACUUACACAGCCCACUGGAGAGUGGAGGGGUGUGAAUGUGGGAGCCUGGGUGAGGGCUGCACCGGACUGUCACCAGGACAGUCCUCAAUGCUGCCUGACUUAGCCACAUUGCCAAAAACAUACACCCAUAGGUUAUGAAAUAUUCAAUACUGUAUUGUAUGGGAGAAAUACAAAGAGGAGAAAGAACUGGGUUGAAAAGGUGGUCUGGUCAGGUAUCUCAACCCACUGGCUUAUAGACCAGGAACCACUCUAGACAAUGCAUGUAAGGAACAGAAAUGGGAAACAAAAACAUUUAAAUUGUAUUUUUCUCUGAUUGCAAUAAACUUGGAGGAAAGCUAUUUUCUUACUUUGAGCUUUUCUUCCAAUUAUGAUGAAUGCAGAGAUUAAUUACAAAGGACCCGGAUAAACUAAAACUCAUCUACAGCAUUUUUUUUUUUUUUGAGAUGGAAUCUCGCUCUGUUGCCCCGGCUGGAGUGCAGUGGCGCGAUCUCGGCUCACUGCAAGCUCCGCCUCCCGGGUUCACGCCAUUCUCCUGCCUCAGCCUCCUGAGUAGCUGGGACAACAGGCACCUGCCACCACGCCCAGCUAAUCUUUUUUGUAUUUUUAGUAGAGACGGGGUUUCACCUUGUUAGCCAGGAUGGUCUCCAUCUCCUGACCUCGUGAUCUGCCUGCCUUGACCUCCCAAAGUGCUGGGAUUACAGGCGUGAGCCACCGCGCCCGGCCUCUACAGCAUAUUUUAAAAGGCAAAAAGCAAAUGGGGGAUCUCAGAAGUCUUAAUGAAGUAACUAUCCCUGAACACUGGGAUCAAUACUCAGCAUCCAGCUGUCAAAUCAACACCAAGCGUUUCACUCGUCGCCCAGCCUAGAGUGCAAUGGCGCUAUUUCGGCUCAUUAUAACCUCCGCCUCCCGGGUUCAAGCAAUUCUUCUGCUUCAGCGUCCCAAGUAGCUGGGAUUACAGCCGCCUCCUGGAGCAGAUUGUUAAGCUGAUGCGAGUCUGGGCUCUGCCUCACCACUUGUCUCAGAGACAGAGUCUUGCUCUGUCACCUAGGCUGGAGUGCAGUGGUGCCAUCACAGCUCACUGCAGCCUCGACCUCCCCGUGCUCAAGUGAUCCUCACACCUCAGCCUCCCGAGUAGCCGCGAUCACAAGUUAAACAAACACAGUUCUUUACAUCAAUGCUUCCGUCCCUGGCCAUCUGGUCUCCUGUCCCCUCCAGACCCAAAACCAUGGGCUGGGCUGCAGCAAAAUGAGGGUGUACUCAGUGCACUGAGGCCCAUGUACCAUGAGAGAUGGAGAAAGCCUUGGCCGGAGUUUAAGGAUUUGGGGCUGGGCACAGUGGCUCGUGCCUGUAAUCCUAGCACUUUGGGAGGCCAAGGCAGGAGGAUCACUUGAGGCCAAGAGUUUGAGACCAGCCUGAGCAACAUAGUGAGACUCUCAUUUCUAAAAAUAAAAAAGUUAGGCCUGGCACAGUGGCUCAUGCCUAUAAUCCCAGCAGUUUGGGAAGCUGAAUCAAGAGGAUCACUUGAGGCCAGGAGUUUGAGCCCAGCCUGGUCAACAUAGUGAGACUUUAUCACUACAAAAAGUUUUUAUUUAUUUAUUUUUUUUGAGACAGGGUCUCGAUUCAUCACUUAGGCUGGAGUGGAGUGUGCAAUCACAGCUCACAGCUCACAGCAGCCUCGACCUCCUGGGUUCAAGCCAUCCUCCCACCUCAGCCUCCUGAGUAGCUGGGACUACAGGCAUACACCACCAUGUCUGGCUAAAUUUUUGUACUUUUUGUAGAGACAGGGUUUCGCCAUGUUGCCCAGGCUGGUCUCUAGCUCCUGGGCUCAAGCAAUCUGCCUGCCUCAGCCUCCCAGAGGCCUGGAACUACAGGCGUGAGCCGCUGCUCUUGGCCAUUUUUAAUUUAAGAGACAGAGUCUCGCUUUGUUACCCAGGCUGGAGUGCAGUACCCUUACUGCAGCCUUGAACUACUGGGCUCAAGCCAUCCUCCCACCUCAGCCUCUCAAGUAGCUGGGACUACAGGUGUGUGUCCCCAUGCCCAGCUGACUGAGCUACCACCAUGCCACUGCAUGCCAGUUGUGACAAAGUGAGACCCUGUCUCUAAAAA